AUUGAACGCUGGCGGCAUGCCUUACACAUGCAAGUCGAACGGCAGCACGGGAGCAAUCCUGGUGGCGAGUGGCGAACGGGUGAGUAAAGUAUCGGAACGUGCCCAGUCGUGGGGGAUAACGUAGCGAAAGUUACGCUAAUACCGCAUACGAUCUAUGGAUGAAAGCGGGGGAUCGCAAGACCUCGCGCGAUUGGAGCGGCCGAUAUCAGAUUAGGUAGUUGGUGGGGUAAAGGCUCACCAAGCCGACGAUCUGUAGCUGGUCUGAGAGGACGACCAGCCACACUGGGACUGAGACACGGCCCAGACUCCUACGGGAGGCAGCAGUGGGGAAUUUUGGACAAUGGGCGAAAGCCUGAUCCAGCCAUGCCGCGUGCAGGAUGAAGGCCCUCGGGUUGUAAACUGCUUUUGUACGGAACGAAAAGGCCCUGGUUAAUACCUGGGGCUCAUGACGGUACCGUAAGAAUAAGCACCGGCUAACUACGUGCCAGCCGCCGCGGUAA
RNAcentral lists this ribosomal RNA (500 nucleotides) under uncultured bacterium. RNAcentral describes it as "partial 16S ribosomal RNA". It matches the Rfam family "Bacterial small subunit ribosomal RNA", at positions 30 to 523 of the family's 1533-position model. The record is from RNAcentral.